Molecule: ribosomal RNA, 480 nt
Filed under: uncultured anaerobic ammonium-oxidizing bacterium
Lineage: Bacteria
Description: bacterial SSU rRNA
Rfam family: Bacterial small subunit ribosomal RNA
Source: RNAcentral
UUUUCGCAAUGCCCGAAAGGGUGACGAAGCGACGCCGCGUGGGUGAGGAAGGCCUUCGGGUUGUAAAGCCCUGUCAGGAGUUAAGAAAUGUAAGUGCGCUAAUAUCGCAUUUAUUUGAUGAAGGCUCCAAAGGAAGUCACGGCUAACUCUGUGCCAGCAGCCGCGGUAAUACAGAGGUGGCAAGCGUUGUUCGGAAUUAUUGGGCGUAAAGAGCACGUAGGUGGGUUUGUAAGUCAGAUGUGAAAGCCUUCUGUUCAACGGAAGAAUUGCAUCUGAAACUGCGAGUCUUGAGUGUAGGAGGGGAGAAUGGAACUUCUGGUGGAGCGGUGAAAUGCGUAGAUAUCAGAAGGAACGCCGGCGGCGAAAGCGAUUCUCUGGCCUAUUACUGACACUCAGUGUGCGAAAGCUAGGGGAGCAAACGGGAUUAGAUACCCCGGUAGUCCUAGCCGUAAACGAUGGGCACUAAGUAGAGGGUUUUAA